AUGGAGAUGGAUGGGGUUCUGCAAGCCGCGGAUGCCAAGGAUUGGGUUUACAAGGGGGAAGGCGCCGCGAAUCUUAUCCUCAGCUACACCGGCUCGUCGCCCUCCAUGCUUGGCAAGGUACUGCGGCUCAAGAAGAUUCUAAAAAACAAGUCGCAGCGGGCACCAAGUUGUAUUGUAUUCUCAAGUCAUGAGCAACUCCUGUGGGGCCAUAUCCCAGAACUGGUUGAGUCGGUCAAACAAGAUUGCUUGGCUCAAGCCUAUGCAGUGCAUGUUAUGAGCCAACACCUGGGUGCCAAUCAUGUCGAUGGUGGGGUCCGUGUACGUGUUUCUAGGGAUUUUCUGGAGCUUGUCGAAAAGAAUGUUCUUAGCAGCCGUCCUGCUGGGAGAGUAAAUGCAAGUUCAAUUGAUAACACUGCUGAUGCCGCUCUUCUGAUAGCAGACCACUCUUUAUUUUCUGGCAAUCCUAAGGGUAGCAGCUGCAUAGCUGUAGAGAUAAAGGCCAAAUGUGGGUUUCUGCCAUCAUCAGAAUAUAUAUCAGAAGAUAAUACUAUCAAGAAACAAGUAACGAGAUAUAAGAUGCAUCAGCACCUCAAAUUUUAUCAGGGUGAGAUAUCGAAGACUAGUGAGUACAAUCCUCUUGAUCUAUUUUCUGGGUCAAAAGAGAGAAUAUGCAUGGCCAUCAAGUCCCUUUUCUCAACUCCUCAGAACAACUUAAGGAUUUUUGUCAAUGGAUCUUUAGCUUUUGGUGGCAUGGGAGGUGGUGCAGAUAGUGUUCAUCCUGCUGACACUCUUAAGUGUCUUGAAGAUCUCAGCAAGAUUAGUGGCCUAAAACUCCCUGACUUCACUGAGCUC
Molecule: unclassified non-coding RNA, 852 nt
Filed under: synthetic construct
Source: RNAcentral